UACGUAGGUGGCAAGCGUUGUCCGGAUCUAUUGGGUUUAAAGGGUGCGUAGGCGGCUUUGUAAGUCAGUGGUGAAAUAUGGCAGCUCAACUGUCAAGGUGCCAUUGAUACUGCGGAGCUUGAGUACAGAUGAGGUAGGCGGAAUUGACGGUGUAGCGGUGAAAUGCUUAGAUAUCGUCAAGAACACCUAUAGCGAAGGCAGCUUACUAGGCUGUAACUGACGCUGAGGCACGAAAGUGUGGGGAUCAAACAGG
Molecule: ribosomal RNA, 253 nt
Filed under: uncultured bacterium
Lineage: Bacteria
Description: partial 16S ribosomal RNA
Rfam family: Bacterial small subunit ribosomal RNA
Source: RNAcentral